This 500-nucleotide ribosomal RNA is filed under the name uncultured bacterium. Its description in RNAcentral is "partial 16S ribosomal RNA". It matches the Rfam family "Bacterial small subunit ribosomal RNA", at positions 30 to 523 of the family's 1533-position model. The record is from RNAcentral.
AUUGAACGCUGGCGGCAUGCCUUACACAUGCAAGUCGAACGGCAGCACGGGAGCAAUCCUGGUGGCGAGUGGCGAACGGGUGAGUAAUAUAUCGGAACGUGCCCAGUCGUGGGGGAUAACGCAGCGAAAGCUGUGCUAAUACCGCAUACGAUCUAAGGAUGAAAGCGGGGGAUCGCAAGAACUAGCGCGAUUGGAGCGGUCGAUAUCAGAUUAGCUAGUUGGUGGGGUAAAGGCCCACCAAGGCGACGAUCUGUAGCUGGUCUGAGAGGACGACCAGCCACACUGGAACUGAGACACGGUCCAGACUCCUACGGGAGGCAGCAGUGGGGAAUUUUGGACAAUGGGCGCAAGCCUGAUCCAGCAAUGCCGCGUGCAGGAUGAAGGCCUUCGGGUUGUAAACUGCUUUUGUACGGAACGAAACGGCCCUUUCUAAUACAGGGGGCUAAUGACGGUACCGUAAGAAUAAGCACCGGCUAACUACGUGCCAGCAGCCGCCGUAA